UGAGACCAUACUGGAAGACCUGAAGUUGGCACCAGAUUCAUGUUAUCAGCAUUAUCAUGAGUAUUUUUAACUCCUAAAGUUUUCCUUAGUUCAGAAAAACAACCUACAAAUUGUUUUCUCUCAAGAGGAUUUGCUGAAGUGUUUUAAUUCUUGUUCAAAAAGUAUUUUAUGCUAGGAUUCAGUGACUAGAAGUGAUAAACUUUCAUAAAAGACUUUUUCUGGUACAAUAACUACAGAUUAUACAGUACACAGUCAAACGAACAUUACUGAAAUUGGCCUGAUACAAGAUACCCAGAGUGUAUGUUUGCAGACUUGUUGGCUCUGAUUGUAAACGAGCUUGUCUUCCAUUUUAACUACAGUUCAUUUCCAGGGAGAAAUUUCUACUGUUUUAAAACCAGUCUGUACAUGUUGUACCUAAAAGCAAAUGAAGAACAUGUAGAGAAGGGAAGUAGCACGUGUAUAUUUCCAGAGAAAACAGCCAUUUCAGCAGAAAACACUGCCUGACAGUAAAUACUUGACCGUAAGCAUCCUGGCAGCAGAGAUGUUGCCUGGCAUGGUAAUGUAUCUCAGAAAAAUUAACCUGAUUGAUAAAAACUAAACUAAGAAUCUUUUUUUUUUUUUUUUUUUUUUUUUUGUGUGUGGUUACAGGUAGGGUCAGAGAACGUAAAACCUUCUUGGAUUAAAAAAUAUUUAAAAAAUUUAAGCAAGCAGAACUACAUAUUGUCACAUGUCUUUGAGAUAAUAUAAAAAAAAAUCUUCUAAAACACUUUCUAUAUGAUUUUGCAUGAGCAUGUAAUACUGUCCUAGUGUUUGUGGGUCACUCAUAUCAGGCUUGCAAUAUCCCAGUUCCACCUGUUUUAUAACUUACUAUCACUUCUUUUAUCCAUAACAAGGGUGCAACGCCUACCUGAGACUUGAUCUGCUCCAUUCUGUCUUUGAUGUUUCUCACUCUGAGCCAGGGGUCACAGUGCUGGCAGACAUGCCAUGGGGUAUGAAUGAUUUAAAGCAACAGGUGAAAGUCUUUAAAUGAGUGUAUUUACUACCACCUUUCAAGGACGUUGUAUCAGCUAUGCUUGAUCAUAUUCCAUGUGUUCUCAGAUGCACUUUCCAUUGUGUUGCUCUUUAGUGGUGCGGUCACAUUUCAUGUAAGUUUGCUAUUCUGUGAAUUUCACAUGUUCAUCUUGUAAAACUAGACUAGUGUGGAUGGUUAAUCUCCUGGACUUUCAUCACUCAAUAAGGGACAGAUGCACCUCAGAGUUAAGCAAACUAAUAUUUCAUACAUUUCCCAUGAAAAUGCUUCUGCCUGCAUCUCAUUUACUUGCACUUUCUGUCUUUAACAUUCACCUUUGCUGCCUCCUCUCGCUGCAAGAGUCUGAAAAGGCUCCUGUGCCCUAAACAACUUGUCAGUUUUUUAAUCUUACUUCCUUCACAUAUUUUUCUUUAAAAAUGCUUCUUCUAUAGCUAUUUUAUUCCACAACACUUUGAAGGUUUAUCACCCCCUGAGGCAUGGCACGACCUUUAGGUAGAAUUCCAGCAUCAAGCUCUAAUCAGACACUCCUCUUCUGCACAACUGCAGAUUAGAAGAAUCCCCACUCUUACCUUCAACUGCUUCCUGAGAUAUCAUAUGUGCAUGACAGCUGUAGUGGUUGCAGAACUCAUCAUGAAAAAAAAAAAUUAUGUCAAAAAAAUUAAAUACAAAAACUGUGAAGUCUCCUAAUGCAAGGAAAAAGAUACUGAGGAGUAUAAAGCGGAAAGAGGUAAUCUAUAAAUAUUUUUCUGUUCAUUCAAAUAACACACACAAAAGCAACUGUGAGAACAUACACCUCUAUUCUCAGGGUAUCAGUACUGAAAUUUUGUGAAUUAAGCAAGGAAAGCAAAUUGUUUCCCUUUCCUCUUGCUUUGCUUUCAUUUAUCUCAUAGUAACACUAAUGUACUUAUCAUGAAAAGUAAAGACUAAAUAAAAAUUAUUCCUAGAUUACAGACAGUCAGGCAGGAUUUCCUUGCUAGACAACAUAUUUACUGUACACAGAACAGCAAGAUUGGUUCCUAAUGCUGAUAAUAGAAGGCAGUGCUGAUAAAAGGGUAUAGAACAGAUCAGGAAUUAGGAGCAGUUAGUUCUAAUCCAGGCUAAACCACUGUUUAGUCAUGAUGCUGACCAGAAUAUUACAAAACUCAAUGCCUUUCUUCCUGCUACAACGUGUUUCUACUGUGUAGCUGUAAUGCUGCAAAUAUUUCUUUAGUAGUUACAGCAGCCUCAAAAAAAGUUGAGUGGAUCACUCAAAUGUACCCUGGAAUUCCUGGCAGCAUCCUGUAGCACAUCAAGAAUGUAGCAUUUUCAGAUGCUUAAAUAUACCUGAAUUACAUUUAAAAUAAAGAUUGUUAAUAAAAAUAUAAAUAACUAAAAGCUGCAGAAAUUAAACACACACACUCAGCUUCAGACUCCAUUUGCAGAUUGAUAAUGAUCAGCACCUAUAAAUCCUCAUGGGCAGUGAAACGUUGGAAGGGAGAGAGAAUGUUUUCAACAAUAGCUGAUGUCUGCAUCAGCAACAAAAACAGUCUCUGAGCACUGGCAUCAAGGAGCAUUUGAUGUGAACAAAGUGACAUCUUGUUUCAUCAAAGGUUAAUGAGUACAGCAGCUCUGUCAGCAAUACAUUAAGACAGCAGUGUCACUGUUCGUCAUACUUGGUGAGUUCGAGGCAGACUGCAAGCAUCGCCAUUUGUGGAUUUGUCGGGGUUUCUUUUCUCUCCUGGUUCAGUAAGUUUAAUGUGACAAGUUUGUAUUUCCCCAUAAGCAACCCUUCAUGCUGUUUUUCCUGCAGACUGAAAGUGCUUUUGUAAGCCUGGUACUUGUGCUGACUGGAAAACUAGAGUAAUUUCUCAGUAAACUUAGUUAAACUAGAAAGUAUUAUAGAAGAUGUAACAAAACAUUGUAACAUCAUUAACCUUUUGUUUUACAGCUUUCUGAUAAAAACUAUUUGAUAGAUUUUUUUUUUUUUUUAGAAAAUGAAAUAUUGUUGAGGUACAGACUUUCUUUUCAAGCAAAUAUUUUUAUAUAAAACUCACAGUUUAGAUAGUUAUCCAUAAUUGUUCAUUAAAAUAAGUGGAAAAGUAUAAAGCAGUAUGAAUAGGGAGAAAAAAAAAACCACAACACAACAACCCAGCAGCAGUGAGUUUCUGUAUAGCCAAAGUUCAGCACUAUGCACAAAUUCUGCUGCUAGAUCCAGAGCCACUGGGCUCAAAGAUAUUACAAUUGACUUCUGGGCUGGUAGUGUUUUCUGUGAGUAUCUCAGGAAAUUAUUAUGUGGCUGAACAAGCCCCUGACUCCAGCACAGAUUAAAUAAGGACUGCAUGGAUGAGUAAAGGUUUGGGAUCUGGACCUUAGAUGCAAGAGUACUUGUCAAAUUCUGUCAUCCCAGUUUGUAACAAACAGCAACUCAUUUCCCUAAUGGGCAAUACCUUGCCUUUCUCUAACUGUGGACAUGACAUGGAUCAUACUUCUUCACUACACAUGGCAUCAGCUUCCAGUAUCCAUGACUGAAGCCAAGGAUGAGAAGAAUCUUUCUGCCUGGGAGCUGCCCAGAUGAGUGUUCCUAUUUGUCUGUCCGUAUUGCCUGCCUCCUGUCAUACAUUUUCACCAUGACUUACUAUGGGACAGGAUCAUCCUGCUUGCACAGAGUUUGGCACAACUGAGUCCUGACCCAUGAUGAAGUGUCUGAGUGCUGAAUAUGAUAAGAAAGAGUCAGUAACUUCUCGGUGCUAUUCCUUUACCAUGGGCUGGCUUUGAAAUGUCAGAUACCAAAGAAAAUAAAUGCUGACCAGAGGACAGAAGACAGACAGAUUAUUUAGACAAGACAGACAUCUCCAAACAAGCAAGACUUCAUGAAAUCUGGUCUCAGCUGACUCAGCAACUAAUCAAAGAGGUCUUUAAACCAUAGGAAAUCACCUUUGAAAGUAUACAAAGGACAGUGAUAAAAAGAGAAGAGGAAGAAGGAUUCAUAGAACGAUUGAUGAAAUCACAAAACACUCAAGUCCUGGAAAGGUUCUAGGAGUAAAUGCUAAAGCAAGCAAUUUUCAACCUCUGGAAUAUAGGAGUGAUAAAAAGAGCUAGAAGGAAACACAACAAGUCAGUCCUAUUUCCUUCUUUGAUGGGUUAAUAUGUUCAGUAGACAACAGGAGAGCAACAGACAUAUUUCAGCUUGAAUAAGACUUUUGACAUGUAGUGCACAACUUUAUCAAAAUUCAUGAAAGAAAUAGCUUAAAUGUAAACAUCAGAGGGUAUGUUCACAACUGACUGAAAAACAUCUCUUGGUGCUUCGUUGAGGAAACAGUUCCUACAGAGGAACAGAUAUCUGAAGCAUCCUUGAAGUAUUCUUCCUGUAAAUAAUUCUUGUUGAAUGAAUGUUUUGAAAAAUUGAAAAGGAAAGGCAAAAAGUGUGCAGACAGCAAUCAAGUAAGGAGAUACUGCUAGCAGAUUCAUGACCUGAUCCUGACCUCUAGGACUCUUGACUAGUAUGGAAACAGGGGGAUAUAAUAAAGUGAUAAAGCACUCCAGAACAAGCAUUAUGUCCAAAACUAGAAGAUGAACUUUGGUAAAAACAACUGUGAAGUAUUACACUUAGGAGAAAACAAAUCACAGGUGCCAAGAUAAUCAGCAAGAGAAACACAUCAUCAUCCUUUUCCCUAAUGGCAAUUUUAAGCAAGUGUGUUAAUGGUGACUGCAAAUAGGGCACAAGUGAGUUUGGAGAUGAUCUAUGUGCAUAGUAAUGACUGUCUGUUGGCCACACAUAGCUUCAGAGACAUGUGCACAGAAUACAAAAUACCUCCAGCCAUUCACACCGAAGUUGGCCCAAUGUCAGCAAAUUGCUCGAGAAAGCACUUCCCCACACCUGCCUGGCAUGAAAGCACAAACUAGAGAAAAAUAACCAAGAUACCUAGCAGGGCAUAUAGAAAAAACACUUUUUACAACUAUUAAAUUCAUUCAAGUAAAGGUCCAUUUGACACUGUGAGGAGGAAAAAAAUUCCACCAAAAAAACUCCACAAAGCAAACUUCCUACACAAUUACGUUUUGUUUUCUCUGUUUGGACAUUUAAUCUGUCAUCACAAUGUCUUUGAAACCUUGUUUACAAUGAAGAUAGGUUACAAUGGAGCAAAGGAGAUAAAAUUCGGUGACAGACAAGGUCCAGAAUGGAUUUUUAUAAGCUAAAAUCAAUUUUAUCUAGGAAAUCAGUGAAGAAUCACUCUGCAAACUAAUUCAAACCAUACACUUUUUUUUUCCCCAAACACUUCUGAAUAUUUUGGAAUAAAGGGAAUAUAUAAUUGGUCAUUCAUAGAACUAAACUGAAACUACGUUCAGAAGUUACAGUACUCAGAAAUUAUUUCUUUUGCUGUUUUUCAAACAGUUUGCUAAAUUUCCUUCUCAGAUAUGCAUUGCCAUGUGGCAGGAGAAAAGCCUAGGCAACAUAGGUGGACUGGAAAUUUGAACACAGGGCUGCUUGUGAGGCCACAUGUGAGAAAUACAAGUUACACUAUGCUUCGCUUUUGACAUCUAACAAACUUGUCUGAGUGAACGUACCUGCCAAAAAUUACAUUAGUGACAAGGUAUCUUGUGUUUGUGCCAACACAUUUCCCUUCAAACAUGGAAAUAGCUUACCCCACGUGUCUGGCCUUCACUAAUAUCUUGAAAGCCGAGACAUAUCUACGGCAAAUUAAUUUGAGUUUUUGCUUUGGAUAAAGUGACCAGUCUGCUGACUUGGUGGCAUUUGGACCAUACAAAAUGUGAAAGGUUGAGAGAACUCAGUUUGUCCAGUCUCAAGAAGAGAAGGUGAAGUGAGAUAUUACGAUUUUUUUCAUCGAUGUAACAGGUGCUUUUAAAGAAGACAGAGGUAAACUUUUGGAGCUGCACAGUGAAAGGAAAGAGGCAAAAGACACAGGCUGCAGCCAAGGAAAUUCCAAUUAGAUAUUAGGAAUUUUUUUUUCCCCAUGAGAGUGGUCACAGGUGCCCAGGUGGGACAAGUACUCUCCAUUCUUGGAGAUGUUUAAAACCCAACUGGACGCGGCCCUGAGCAGCCCAAGUUAUCUUUGUAGCUGGAUCUAAUUUAAAAUUUGGACCUGCUCUAAACAUGGCUGUUGGACCAGACAGCCUCCAGAGACCCCUUCCAGGCUGAAUUAUUCCCCGACAGAGAGAGCUGCUGCGAGGCUGCUCUCUCAGAAAAGUGUUUCACGAGAAACAGGGUCUGAUCUUAACAGCAUGAACAACGAACAAAGGAUCACCUUUAAGAUGCUUCUCUCUGGGUCCCAUAUGCCAAUGAGUUAUUAAGAAGCAUUAUUGAGAUGAAGAUUUACUUCAAAAAGUGUUGUGCGUUCUGUCAAUGCACAGAAACAUUCUAUAGUUUUAUUGUCUUAAAUGGGAACUGUUCCCUCAUGGAUGUUUCUUCAGAGGAAACACUUUACAGGAAAAGGAACAUGCAGGCCUUGUUUUUUGCCCUUGUACUGGUAGAACAGAGACCACUCUCUUUAUGUUUGAACUAGAAUAUAACAACUCUGAGUUUGUUUUAUUUUGUGUGUGUGUGUUUUUAACAUCCUUAAAAGCUUCCUAGGGCAAGAAUUAAAGACAAGCAAACAAACAGAAAACCCAAACAGGAUCUGCACUUCAUGUUAGUUUGCAUCCAGCAUCUGCAAUGUGAUCUUGACAAAACAAGGGUUUUGUUUAGAAUUAGUUUGGAUUCUAAACAAACAAGUGAAGAGUUAGAAAAUACUCUUAAAGCACAUACAAACAACACAUUAAAUAGGCACCUCACUGGACCAGGAGAUCUUGCUCUAAUUCCCAGUUCUACAUGAAUGCUCUAAAGGACCUUGGCCAAGACAUUUUGUUUUCCUCUGUCUCACUUCUCCCCCAUAAAAAUGAAAAUAAUAUCACCUUUUUGCCACUCUUUGCCUUUCUAAAUACACAGAACUGAUAAUCCCAUAGGAAAGUAGCUCUGUCCUAUUACAGUAUGAACUCACUAGCAGUCAAGUUAUCAAAUAACCUGAAAGUAUGACUAACAUAUGAUGAACAGAAACAGAAAUAAAAAGAGCAAGUACUCCCUUGCAAAUGUACUGUUGAUUUUGCUUAAUUGAACAGCUGGUGACUCUUGGAGGACCAAGGCUUUUCCCACAUCCUUAGGCAGCACUGUCAGUCUGUUGUGCUGUUCAGGUCAUGUCCAUAACAUACAAUAAAAGUUUCCCUCCAGGGUAGCCAUCCUCCCUCCAUAAUUUCCCAUCUCUCACUGAGAUCCAGUUUAGAAAUACAGUCCCAUAGGAUUUGUGUAAGGAACCUGAAGGAAUCUAGGCUGGUGGCACUGAAAGUAGACACCCUAACAAGGACAGAGCAUGGUCUCACGUGGAGCUGCACAAUUAGUUUGUCUCAUAAGUUUGCACAGAUCUGCAGAGCUGGCUUUGGAUUGUAUACCAAAAUACCACAUGCAGAUAACACUGCAGAGUGCAAAUGUAAGCAUUUAUAUAAAUGUGAAAGGCAGAGCAGGUCUCAAUGUUGUUUGGUUUCCAGUGCUGUUGAGAACAUUCAUGCUCAGACCUUAUAGUGAGAUUCUCCAAUCUCCCCUCAAAGCAAGCCUUCUCUUUGCCUGUCUCUGUACAUUCCUAGACAUUUUAUAAUCCAAGCUCUGACACACACUAUCUGGAGGAAAUGGCCACUGAAAGGGCCCUCCUGCCCAUGUGUCCUGACUAACGUAAGAGAACAAAUCCUUAAUUGUUGCUCAAGUGUCCUAUGUCAAUACAAUAAAAUCUCUGUCUUCUGUUUUUAAGGUUA
Molecule: long non-coding RNA, 7804 nt
Organism: Myiozetetes cayanensis
Lineage: Eukaryota; Metazoa; Chordata; Aves; Passeriformes; Tyrannidae
Exons: 3
Source: RefSeq, a predicted model, not a curated record